Molecule: ribosomal RNA, 783 nt
Filed under: uncultured bacterium
Lineage: Bacteria
Description: bacterial SSU rRNA
Rfam family: Bacterial small subunit ribosomal RNA
Source: RNAcentral
UGACUNGAGUGCAGAAGGGGAGAGUGGAAUNCCAUGUGUAGCGGUGAAAUGCGUAGAUAUAUGGAGGAACGCCAGUGGCGAAAGCGGCUCUCUGGUCUGUCACUGACGCUGAGGCUCGAAAGCGUGGGUAGCGAACAGGAUUAGAUACCCUGGUAGUCCACGCCGUAAACGAUGAGUGCUAGGUGUUAGGCCCUUUCCGGGGCUUAGUGUCGGAGCUAACGCAAUAAGCACUCCGCCUGGGGAGUACGACCGCAAGGUUGAAACUCAGAGGAAUUGACGGGGGCCCGCACAAGCGGUGGAGCAUGUGGUUUAAUUCGAAGCAACGCGAAGAACCUUACCAGGUCUUGACAUCCCGAUGCUAUUCUUAGAGAUAGGGAGUUACUUCGGUACAUCGGAGACAGGUGGUGCAUGGUUGUCGUCAGCUCGUGUCGUGAGAUGUUGGGUUAAGUCCCGCAACGAGCGCAACCCUUAUUGUUAGUUGCCAUCAUUAAGUUGGGCACUCUAGCGAGACUGCCGGUAAUAAACCGGAGGAAGGUGGGGAUGACGUCAAAUCAUCAUGCCCCUUAUGACCUGGGCUACACACGUGCUACAAUGGUCGGUACAACGAGUUGCGAGCCGGUGACGGCAAGCUAAUCUCUGAAAGCCGAUCUCAGUUCGGAUUGGAGGCUGCAACUCGCCUCCAUGAAGUCGGAAUCGCUAGUAAUCGCGGAUCAGCACGCCGCGGUGAAUACGUUCCCGGGCCUUGUACACACCGCCCGUCACACCACGAGAGUUUGUAACACC